RNAcentral lists this transfer RNA (73 nucleotides) under Tremella mesenterica DSM 1558. RNAcentral describes it as "tRNA-Asn (GTT) (tRNA-Asn-GTT-1-1)". It matches the Rfam family "tRNA". From Rfam's summary of the family: Transfer RNA (tRNA) molecules are approximately 80 nucleotides in length. Their secondary structure includes four short double-helical elements and three loops (D, anti-codon, and T loops). Further hydrogen bonds mediate the characteristic L-shaped molecular structure. tRNAs have two regions of fundamental functional importance: the anti-codon, which is responsible for specific mRNA codon recognition, and the 3' end, to which the tRNAs corresponding amino acid is attached (by aminoacyl-tRNA synthetases). tRNAs cope with the degeneracy of the genetic code in two manners: having more than one tRNA (with a specific anti-codon) for a particular amino acid; and 'wobble' base-pairing, i.e. permitting non-standard base-pairing at the 3rd anti-codon position. Lineage: Eukaryota; Fungi; Basidiomycota; Tremellomycetes; Tremellales; Tremellaceae. The record is from RNAcentral.
UGUCCUUUAGCACAGUUGGUAGUGCGUCCGACUGUUAAUCGGGAGGUCAACAGUUCAAGCCUGUUAGGGACAG